GAUGAACGCUGGCGGCGUGCCUAAUACAUGCAAGUCGAGCGAACGGACGAGAAGCUUGCUUCUCUGAUGUUAGCGGCGGACGGGUGAGUAACACGUGGAUAACCUACCUAUAAGACUGGGAUAACUUCGGGAAACCGGUGCUACUACCGGAUAAUAUUUUGAACCGCAUGGUUCAAAAGUGAAAGACGGUCUUGCUGUCACUUAUAGAUGGAUCCGCGCUGCAUUAGCUAGUUGGUAAGGUAACGGCUUACCAAGGCAACGAUGCAUAGCCGACCUGAGAGGGGGAUCGGCCACACUGGAACUGAGAAACGGUCCAGACUCCUACGGGAGGCAGCAGUAGGGAAUCUUCCGCAAUGGGCGAAAGCCUGACGGAGCAACGCCGCGUGAGUGAUGAAGGUCUUCGGAUCGUAAAACUCUGUUAUUAGGGAAGAAAAUAUGUGUAAGUAAAUGUGCACAUCUUGACGGUACCUAAUCAGAAAGCCACGGCUAACUACGUG
Molecule: ribosomal RNA, 497 nt
Filed under: uncultured bacterium
Lineage: Bacteria
Description: partial 16S ribosomal RNA
Rfam family: Bacterial small subunit ribosomal RNA
Source: RNAcentral